AGCGAACGCUGGCGGCAGGCCUAACACAUGCAAGUCGAACGAACCUUUCGGGGUUAGUGGCGGAUGGGUGAGUAACACGUGGGAACGUGCCUUUAGGUUCGGAAUAACUCAGGGAAACUUGUGCUAAUACCGAAUGUGCCCUUCGGGGGAAAGAUUUGUAGCCUUUAGAGCGUCCCGCGUCUGAUUAGCUAGUUGGUUGAGUUAAUGGUUCACCAAGGCGACGAUCAGUAGCUGGUCUGAGAGGAAGAUCCGCCACAUUGGGGCUGAGACGCAGCCCGAAAUCCUACGGGAGGCAGCAGUGGGGAAUCUUGCACAAUGGGCGAAAGCCUGACGCAGCCAUGCCGGGUGAAUGAUGAAGGUCUUAGGGUUGUAAAAUUCUUUCAACGGGGACGAUAAUGACGGUACCCGGAGAAAAAGCCCCGGCUAACUACGUG
This 434-nucleotide ribosomal RNA is filed under the name uncultured bacterium. RNAcentral describes it as "partial 16S ribosomal RNA". It matches the Rfam family "Bacterial small subunit ribosomal RNA", at positions 29 to 507 of the family's 1533-position model. The record is from RNAcentral.